Molecule: ribosomal RNA, 842 nt
Filed under: Fusarium tricinctum
Lineage: Eukaryota; Fungi; Ascomycota; Sordariomycetes; Hypocreales; Nectriaceae
Description: eukaryotic LSU rRNA
Rfam family: Eukaryotic large subunit ribosomal RNA
Source: RNAcentral
CCAGCAGGGAUUGCCCUAGUACCGGCGAGUGAAGCGGCAACAGCUCAAAUUUGAAAUCUGGCUUUCGGGCCCGAGUUGUAAUUUGUAGAGGAUACUUUUGAUGCGGUGCCUUCCGAGUUCCCUGGAACGGGACGCCAUAGAGGGUGAGAGCCCCGUCUGGUUGGAUGCCAAAUCUCUGUAAAGUUCCUUCGACGAGUCGAGUAGUUUGGGAAUGCUGCUCUAAAUGGGAGGUAUAUGUCUUCUAAAGCUAAAUAUUGGCCAGAGACCGAUAGCGCACAAGUAGAGUGAUCGAAAGAUGAAAAGCACUUUGAAAAGAGAGUUAAAAAGUACGUGAAAUUGUUGAAAGGGAAGCGUUUAUGACCAGACUUGGACUUGGUUAAUCAUCUGGGGUUCUCUCCAGUGCACUUUUCCAGUUCAGGCCAGCAUCAGUUUUCGCCGGGGGAUAAAGGCAGCGGGAAUGUGGCUCUCUUCGGGGAGUGUUAUAGCCCGCUGUGUAAUACCCUGGUGGGGACUGAGGUUCGCGCUUCUGCAAGGAUGCUGGCGUAAUGGUCAUCAACGACCCGUCUUGAAACACGGACCAAGGAGUCGUCUUUGUAUGCGAGUGUUCGGGUGUCAAACCCCUACGCGUAAUGAAAGUGAACGCAGGUGAGAGCUUCGGCGCAUCAUCGACCGAUCCUGAUGUUCUCGGAUGGAUUUGAGUAAGAGCAUACGGGGCCGGACCCGAAAGAAGGUGAACUAUGCCUGUAUAGGGUGAAGCCAGAGGAAACUCUGGUGGAGGCUCGCAGCGGUUCUGACGUGCAAAUCGAUCGUCAAAUAUGGGCAUGGGGCGAAAGACUAAUCGA